CCUGGAGACUCCUACGGGAGGCAGCAGUGGGGAAUAUUGGACAAUGGGGGGAACCCUGAUCCAGCAAUGCCGCGUGUGUGAAGAAGGCCUUCGGGUUGUAAAGCACUUUCAGUAGGGAGGAAAGGUGCGUAGUUAAUACCUGCGCAAUUGACGUUACCUACAGAAGAAGCACCGGCUAACUCCGUGCCAGCAGCCGCGGUAAUACGGAGGGUGCGAGCGUUAUUCGGAAUUACUGGGCGUAAAGCGCACGCAGGCGGUUGCCCAAGUCAGAUGUGAAAGCCCCGGGCUUAACCUGGGAACUGCAUUUGAAACUGGGCGACUAGAGUAUGAAAGAGGAAAGCGGAAUUUCCAGUGUAGCAGUGAAAUGCGUAGAUAUUGGAAGGAACACCGAUGGCGAAGGCAGCUUUCUGGGUCGAUACUGACGCUCAUGUGCGAAAGCGUGGGGAGCAAACAGGAUUAGAUACCCUUGUAGUCCU
Molecule: ribosomal RNA, 476 nt
Filed under: uncultured bacterium
Lineage: Bacteria
Description: bacterial SSU rRNA
Rfam family: Bacterial small subunit ribosomal RNA
Source: RNAcentral